This 87-nucleotide transfer RNA is filed under the name Klebsiella phage vB_Kpn_B01. RNAcentral describes it as "tRNA-Tyr". It matches the Rfam family "tRNA". Rfam says of the family: Transfer RNA (tRNA) molecules are approximately 80 nucleotides in length. Their secondary structure includes four short double-helical elements and three loops (D, anti-codon, and T loops). Lineage: Duplodnaviria; Heunggongvirae; Uroviricota; Caudoviricetes; Demerecviridae. RNAcentral also lists the same sequence under 27 other names. The record is from RNAcentral.
GGGGAAUAUUCUGUAAGUGGUAGCAGAGCGGUCUGUAAAAUCGUUGCCAUUGCGGCUCGGGUGGUUCGACUCCAUCUUCCCCCACCA